Molecule: ribosomal RNA, 468 nt
Filed under: uncultured bacterium
Lineage: Bacteria
Description: partial 16S ribosomal RNA
Rfam family: Bacterial small subunit ribosomal RNA
Source: RNAcentral
GACGAACGCUGGCGGCGUGCUUAACACAUGCAAGUCGAACGGAAAGGCCCUGCUUUUGUGGGGUGCUCGAGUGGCGAACGGGUGAGUAACACGUGAGUAACCUGCCCUUGACUUUGGGAUAACUUCAGGAAACUGGGGCUAAUACCGGAUAGGAGCUCCUGCUGCAUGGUGGGGGUUGGAAAGUUUCGGCGGUUGGGGAUGGACUCGCGGCUUAUCAGAUUGUUGGUGGGGUAGUGGCUUACCAAGGCUUUGACGGGUAGCCGGCCUGAGAGGGUGACCGGCGACAUUGGGACGGAGAGACGGCCCAGAAUCCUACGGGAGGCAGCAGUGGGGAAUAUUGCAAAAUGGGCGGAAGCCUGAUGCAGCAACGCCGCGUGCGGGAUGAAGGCCUUCGGGUUGUAAACCGCUUUCGCCUGUGACGAAGCGUGAGUGACGGUAAUGGGUAAAGAAGCACCGGCUAACUACGUG